UACAGGGGGUGCAAACGUUGCUCGGAAUUAUUGGGCGUAAAGCGCGCGUAGGCGGCUACUUAAGUCGGAUGUGAAAGCCCCUGGCUCAACUGGGGAAGUGCACCCGAAACUGAGUGGCUUGAGUGCGAAAGAGGGUCGCGGAAUUCCCGGUGUAGAGGUGAAAUUCGUAGAUAUCGGGAGGAACACCGGUGGCGAAAGCGACUUCCUGGACCAAUACUGACGCUCAUGUGCGAAAGCGUGGGGAGCAAACAGG
This 253-nucleotide ribosomal RNA is filed under the name uncultured bacterium. RNAcentral's name for it is "partial 16S ribosomal RNA". It matches the Rfam family "Bacterial small subunit ribosomal RNA", at positions 524 to 776 of the family's 1533-position model. The record is from RNAcentral.